Molecule: ribosomal RNA, 91 nt
Filed under: Pseudomonas aeruginosa
Lineage: Bacteria; Pseudomonadati; Pseudomonadota; Gammaproteobacteria; Pseudomonadales; Pseudomonadaceae
Description: partial 16S ribosomal RNA
Source: RNAcentral
UGAGCCAAGUUUAGGGUUUUCUCAAAACCCAAGCAGUAUUGAACUGAAGAGUUUGAUCAUGGCUCAGAUUGAACGCUGGCGGCAGGCCUAA